AGGUAAGCUACUAAGAGCGAAUGGUGGAUGCCUUGACUGGUAAAGGCGAUGAAGGACGUACUAGACUGCGAUAAGCUACGGGGAGCUGUCAAGAAGCUUUGAUCCGUAGAUUUCCGAAUGGGGCAACCCAAUGUAUAGAGAUAUACAUUACCUAUAUAGGAGCGAACGAGGGGAAUUGAAACAUCUUAGUACUCUCAGGAAAAGAAAUCAAUAGAGAUUGCGUCAGUAGCGGCGAGCGAAAGCGCAAGAGGGCAAACCCAGUGCUUGCACUGGGGGUUGUAGGACUGCAAUGUGCAAGAGGUAAGUUUAGCAGAACAUUCUGGAAAGUAUAACCAUAGAGGGUGAUAGUCCCGUAUGCGAAAAACAAACCUUAGCUAGCAGUAUCCUGAGUAGGGCGGGACACGAGGAAUCCUGUCUGAAUCCGGGUCGACCACGAUCCAACCCUAAAUACUAAUACCAGAUCGAUAGUGCACAAGUACCGUGAGGGAAAGGUGAAAAGAACUGAGGUGAUCAGAGUGAAAUAGAACCUGAAACCAUUUGCUUACAAUCAUUCAGAGCCCUAUGUAGCAAUACAGGGUGAUGGACUGCCUUUUGCAUAAUGAGCCUGCGAGUUGUGGUGUCUGGCAAGGUUAAGCAAACGCGAAGCCGUAGCGAAAGCGAGUCUGAAUAGGGCGCUUAGUCAGAUGCUGCAGACCCGAAACGAAGUGAUCUAUCCAUGAGCAAGUUGAAGCUAGUGUAAGAACUAGUGGAGGACUGAACCCAUAGGCGUUGAAAAGCCCCGGGAUGACUUGUGGAUAGGGGUGAAAGGCCAAUCAAACUUCGUGAUAGCUGGUUCUCUCCGAAAUAUAUUUAGGUAUAGCGUUGUGUCGUAAUAUAAGGGGGUAGAGCACUGAAUGGGCUAGGGCAUACACCAAUGUACCAAACCCUAUCAAACUCCGAAUACCUUAUAUGUAAUCACAGCAGUCAGGCGGCGAGUGAUAAAAUCCGUCGUCAAGAGGGAAACAACCCAGACUACCAGCUAAGGUCCCUAAAUCUUACUUAAGUGGAAAACGAUGUGAAGUUACUUAAACAACCAGGAGGUUGGCUUAGAAGCAGCCAUCCUUUAAAGAAAGCGUAAUAGCUCACUGGUCUAGUGAUUUUGCGCGGAAAAUAUAACGGGGCUAAAGU
This 1167-nucleotide ribosomal RNA is filed under the name Campylobacter jejuni. RNAcentral describes it as "partial 23S ribosomal RNA". It matches the Rfam family "Bacterial large subunit ribosomal RNA", at positions 1 to 1188 of the family's 2925-position model. The record is from RNAcentral. Lineage: Bacteria; Pseudomonadati; Campylobacterota; Epsilonproteobacteria; Campylobacterales; Campylobacteraceae.